CCUACGGGCGGCUGCAGUGGGGAAUAUUGGACAAUGGGGGGAAUCCUGAUCCAGCCAUGCCGCGUGUGUGAAGAAGGCCCUCGGGUUGUAAAGCACUUUCAGUGAGGAAGAACGCCUGGUGGUUAAUACCCAUCAGGAAAGACAUCACUCACAGAAGAAGCACCGGCUAACUCCGUGCCAGCAGCCGCGGUAAUACGGAGGGUGCGAGCGUUAAUCGGAAUUACUGGGCGUAAAGCGCGCGUAGGUGGCUUGAUAAGCCGGUUGUGAAAGCCCCGGGCUCAACCUGGGAACGGCAUCCGGAACUGUCAAGCUAGAGUGCAGGAGAGGAAGGUAGAAUUCCCGGUGUAGCGGUGAAAUGCGUAGAGAUCGGGAGGAAUACCAGUGGCGAAGGCGGCCUUCUGGACUGACACUGACACUGAGGUGCGAAAGCGUGGGUAGCAAACAGGAUUAGAUACCCUAGUAGUC
Molecule: ribosomal RNA, 465 nt
Filed under: Vreelandella stevensii
Lineage: Bacteria; Pseudomonadati; Pseudomonadota; Gammaproteobacteria; Oceanospirillales; Halomonadaceae
Description: partial 16S ribosomal RNA
Rfam family: Bacterial small subunit ribosomal RNA
Source: RNAcentral